UGGUUCCGGUUGUCCGCGCGACGAGACUAGCUAAAACCGAAACAGCGAAUGAUAUGAUAACCUAUUAUAAUUUAUUCCCAAGUAGGGAGCUAAUUGGAAAAUAGUCAUCAUCUCAGUUCGAACAAGUGUCGUUACGCCCCUUGCCGGAACUAGUUCAAUCGUUGACAAUGUAUAUUUUCAAAUAACCUUCUAUACAAAUUUUUAAUUACAUAUCGAUCUCGAAAUUUUCUCCGCUCUCCUUUCUGAGCUCGUUCUCUUCAUCUCGUUUCUCUUCAAUUAAACCCUAACCCUAAUCCUCGGCGGGCGUACACCAGGAGCCCAAAUCCGAUUCACCGAGGACCUCAUCAGCGAUAUCGAAGGGGAGCAAUCUGAGAUUCUCGGAGGGAUUGAGGGUUUAGGGCAUCAUGCCUCCAGGUACUAAUCUCCUUUCAAUGCUCUUCUUCUUCUUCUCAAUGUCUUAACUCUUGGGUAAAUUUGAAGGUAAAAGCUGAAAAUCGGCAUAUUUUAUUUGAUUAGGACAUAAAGUUGUGCUCUUUAAUUAAUUUAUUUUUCCCCCCAUUCUUUCGGUUCAAACAAGGGAAGUGAUUCUGUUUAUUUUUUGUAUCAACUGGAUACCCUGCCUGAUGACUACAUUCUACUGUUAAAAAGAUCGUUUUUCUUUUCUUUUGGCGUGUAGGCAAAGAGGGAUAGUGACGCAAAAUUGGAUUAGCCCUGGAUACUCUCCAUGAUGAGGGCAUUGAUUAGAAAAAUUCUUGCCAGGAAUUUAAUUUGAUGUUAAUGGUGGGUCACCCCUUUACACGAAGUUGUCUUGCCAGGAAUUUAAUUUGAUGUUAAUGUUGCAAGUUGCUUGGAGGAAUGCACAAGUUUCGAUGGUUUAUACCUUCAUCUAUAAUUCUUUUUAGUUAAGGUCCAUACUCUUGUUCUAAGGUAUCGAAGUGAUUAUUCUUAACUCUUAAUGGCAUUGUAGUUCAUAAGCGGUUUAGAAGUUUAAGCUGUCUAGUUAAAAACAAAUCCUUAUUCAACUUCUUUAUUCCAGUGGUAAACUGCCGAAAAUGACUGUGCCAGGUUCUUGUGACUAGUGAUUUCCAAUUAAAUUAUUUUGCUUCGGAGUCUUUGCGGGUCAGCUAAAUGGAUAACCAUAAAAUAUAUUAGGAAUGCUAUCUUCUAGCUGACAUGAUUAUUGGUUUACUUCCUGCUUUUUUUGUUUGGGAUCUGCAUUUGACUUAAUUCGGAAACAUUUCAUAUUUAAACCAUACCCUUGCACAUAUUAUUAUAAUGUAAUAUUACAGAAGAAAAAUCAUAAAUACCACAUUAAUAAGUGUAUUAAUACCAUAUACAACUUUUGCAUAUCAGGACCUUUGUCGUGAAGAUCUCUUAGUGCGUAGAAGUCCAUUGCUCACUAUUCAGCUUAACUUUACAUCCCUUUUAUUUUACCAAUUUAAGCUUCUAUUUGAUUAAAUUGUGUUGUUAUAUUUGUUUGUUGUUCCAAUUGUAUAUGAAAUCCAAGACCUGCCAUUCUCAAUUCAAUUCCUCUUAGUUUUGUUACUAUCAUUGGGAGAGCUGUGUUGGUAUACUACACCAAAGAACAUUUUUUUUUCAUUUUAUCGUUCAGUACCAGUGUCUGAGAUUUUUUGUCAAUAACAACUGAAAGCCACAGGCAGAAACAGAAGAAAAGGCUAAAAAAGGCCUUUUCAUUUGUUGGAGGGUAAAAGAUUAAACAACGUGCAAUUGAAAUUCUGCGUAGAUCUUAAAAUUAAGUCUCUGAGAUGAUCUCUUUUCUGAGGUAUUGCCAGCGACACUCUAUAGUGAGUUCUCUGUUAAUACUCAUCUUGAUCAUCGGUACACUGCAAUUUUUGGGCCUAUUAUCUGCUCCAUUGGAUACAAUAGUGUCAAGUGAUGCUAUUUUUUGUCCUUGAGUACAAGGAUUCAUACAACAGGCUGUGUAAGGGAAAAAGCUCCAUGAUAUAUUUAUCUACUGUUUGAGUAGUUGCUGUUUUAUAAUGUUAAGGUGUUAAUAUACACUAGAAAAUAUGCAUACGACUAGAUGAUUUCAUUGCAAAUGCACAUUUAAACACAUGCAUAAGAGUAAAAAAUUAGUUAUAUAUUUGAAACUAGACAACAUGCAUUUCAUGACUUCUUGAAGUUAGACAGUCUACUCAGAAAUGAAGUUUCCAAAAAUACUGGAGUUUCUGGUAUUUUACACUGUGAAAUAAGAGGUACCAAGCAACAUUGUUCUGAUUCACACAGUCCUAGCUGUUAACUCGCAUGAAUAUAUUUUAUAUAUGCAACCAAACAAACAUUCAAAUAGAUACUGCUUCUGCUUUAUAUUUCAGCAUACUUAAUACUAGUAGAAAAACCAUAUAGAAAGUUCCUUCAAUUACAGUUGAGCCAGCUGCUGCACGUUGACUGGGUACAUGUCAUUAGGAGGUCCAGUGAAUGCCCUUUGUCCGAGGAUUAAGUUCACAGCUUGUGUUGGGUGGAAAGCAUCCCAGAAGAUAUGUUGGCUCCUAUUGAGGCAGGGAACAGAAAAUGGAAGGCAGGUGAUCUGCCCCUGGAACCUUCCCAGCCCACAGCAACCCCUUUCAACAACCGUGAAACCUGCCUCCAGUAAAACUCAGACAUCUUGAUCAGCUCAUUAAUAAGCUUAGUGGAUUCAUAGGCCUUCUUCUCUAUAAAAUCUUUUUAACAGGUUAUUUUCGAUUAUGCUAAUUUGUUUUAUUUAGAUUUACAUGCACUAUGUUCUCCAUAAGUUGUUUAACAAAUAUUUUGAGUAUGCUGCUAUGUUGUUUCCAUGCAGUGACUUACCAUACGUGCUUGGGUUGUUGAGGAUGUCUCCAAGAGCACCAUAUGUGUUGCCAUAUACAAAAAUUGCCCCUGGGUGAUCAGUGUUCAGCUGU
This 2897-nucleotide long non-coding RNA is filed under the name Phoenix dactylifera (date palm). RNAcentral's name for it is "long non-coding RNA (PDAC_LNC001239)". Lineage: Eukaryota; Viridiplantae; Streptophyta; Magnoliopsida; Arecales; Arecaceae. The record is from RNAcentral.